This 762-nucleotide ribosomal RNA is filed under the name Bacillus cereus. RNAcentral's name for it is "bacterial SSU rRNA". It matches the Rfam family "Bacterial small subunit ribosomal RNA", at positions 41 to 786 of the family's 1533-position model. The record is from RNAcentral. Lineage: Bacteria; Bacillati; Bacillota; Bacilli; Caryophanales; Bacillaceae.
GGGGUGCUAUACAUGCAGUCGAGCGAAUGGAUUAAGAGCUUGCUCUUAUGAAGUUAGCGGCGGACGGGUGAGUAACACGUGGGUAACCUGCCCAUAAGACUGGGAUAACUCCGGGAAACCGGGGCUAAUACCGGAUAACAUUUUGAACCGCAUGGUUCGAAAUUGAAAGGCGGCUUCGGCUGUCACUUAUGGAUGGACCCGCGUCGCAUUAGCUAGUUGGUGAGGUAACGGCUCACCAAGGCAACGAUGCGUAGCCGACCUGAGAGGGUGAUCGGCCACACUGGGACUGAGACACGGCCCAGACUCCUACGGGAGGCAGCAGUAGGGAAUCUUCCGCAAUGGACGAAAGUCUGACGGAGCAACGCCGCGUGAGUGAUGAAGGCUUUCGGGUCGUAAAACUCUGUUGUUAGGGAAGAACAAGUGCUAGUUGAAUAAGCUGGCACCUUGACGGUACCUAACCAGAAAGCCACGGCUAACUACGUGCCAGCAGCCGCGGUAAUACGUAGGUGGCAAGCGUUAUCCGGAAUUAUUGGGCGUAAAGCGCGCGCAGGUGGUUUCUUAAGUCUGAUGUGAAAGCCCACGGCUCAACCGUGGAGGGUCAUUGGAAACUGGGAGACUUGAGUGCAGAAGAGGAAAGUGGAAUUCCAUGUGUAGCGGUGAAAUGCGUAGAGAUAUGGAGGAACACCAGUGGCGAAGGCGACUUUCUGGUCUGUAACUGACACUGAGGCGCGAAAGCGUGGGGAGCAAACAGGAUUAGAUACC